AAGAAAGGCAGAAGCUCAGAUACGGGAUCGAACUACAAUACCCAUAAUGAUUUCGUGAACCUCCUCGUGCAGGCCUCGUGGGAAAUGUAGUACAGGUUAAACCACGGUUUAAAGGUGUUGGGCAAGGUGCUGGUUUAAAUGUUGCAGGGAAGGGCAAGAUCAUCCCUGACAACUAGGCUGGGCACCUUACAGUGGUCAUUUUAAGAUGGGAGGCCUCGAUAAAAUGAAAGGAGCAAUAGCUGAGGACUCAGGGGCUUGAGAUUCAAGUCCUGACUAAACCAAUUAUUAUCUUUGUGAUCUCAGGUAUGUAGCUUAAUUUCACCAAACAUACUUCCUCAUCCAUGAAAUGGGAAGAAUAAUAC
Molecule: long non-coding RNA, 362 nt
Filed under: Phascolarctos cinereus (koala)
Lineage: Eukaryota; Metazoa; Chordata; Mammalia; Diprotodontia; Phascolarctidae
Description: lncRNA (ENSPCIG00000024275.2)
Source: RNAcentral